Molecule: ribosomal RNA, 501 nt
Filed under: uncultured Gemella sp.
Lineage: Bacteria; Bacillati; Bacillota; Bacilli; Caryophanales; Gemellaceae
Description: bacterial SSU rRNA
Rfam family: Bacterial small subunit ribosomal RNA
Source: RNAcentral
GACGAACGCGUGGCGGCGUGCCUAAUACAUGCAAGUCGAGCGAAGUUUUUCUGGUGCUUGCACUAGAAAAACUUAGACGGCGAACGGGUGAGUAACACGUAAAGAACCUGCCUCAUAGACUGGGACAACUAUUGGAAACGAUAGCUAAUACCGGAUAACAGCAUUAACUGCAUGGUUGAUGUUUAAAAGUUGGUUUUGCUAACACUAUGAGAUGGCUUUGCGGUGCAUUGGCUAGUUGGUGGGGUAAAGGCCUACCAAGGCGACGAUGCAUAGCCGACCUGAGAGGGUGAUCGGCCACACUGGGACUGAGACACGGCCCAGACUCCUACGGGAGGCAGCAGUAGGGAAUCUUCCGCAACGGGCGAAAGCCUGACGGAGCAACGCCGCGUGAGUGAAGAAGGAUUUCGGUUCGUAAAGCUCUGUUGUUAGGGAAGGAUGAUUGUGUAGUAACUAUACACAGUAGAGACGGUACCUAACCAGAAAGCCACGGCUAACUACGUG